GUGGGGAAUUUUGGACAAUGGGGGCAACCCUGAUCCAGCCAUGCCGCGUGCGGGAAGAAGGCCUUCGGGUUGUAAACCGCUUUUGUCAGGGAAGAAAUCCUUUGGGUUAAUACCUCGGAGGGAUGACGGUACCUGAAGAAUAAGCACCGGCUAACUACGUGCCAGCAGCCGCGGUAAUACGUAGGGUGCGAGCGUUAAUCGGAAUUACUGGGCGUAAAGCGUGCGCAGGCGGUUUUGUAAGAACGAUGUGAAAUCCCCGGGCUCAACCGGGGAACUGCAGUAGGGACUGCAAGGCUGGAGUGCGGCAGAGGGGGAUGGAAUUCCGCGUGUAGCAGUGAAAUGCGUAGAUAUGCGGAGGAACACCGAUGGCGAAGGCAAUCCCCUGGGCCUGCACUGACGCUCAUGCACGAAAGCGUGGGGAGCAAACAGGAUUAGAAACCCUGGUAGUCC
RNAcentral lists this ribosomal RNA (450 nucleotides) under uncultured bacterium. RNAcentral's name for it is "bacterial SSU rRNA". It matches the Rfam family "Bacterial small subunit ribosomal RNA", at positions 354 to 796 of the family's 1533-position model. The record is from RNAcentral.